This is a non-coding RNA of Aegilops tauschii subsp. strangulata, 752 nucleotides long. The record is from RefSeq and is a predicted model, not a curated record. NCBI's taxonomy places the organism in Eukaryota, Viridiplantae, Streptophyta, Magnoliopsida, Poales, Poaceae.
GGGAGUAGCAUAACUUCUAGUAGUAUUAAGAAAAUCCAUAUUGAAGGGACUUAAGAUACUUCUAUGUUUUAUUUUGAUGACACUCAGGUGUCAGACUAGUUAGACUUAGACAUUGUUGUAAAUAGUUGCUAGACACAGACUAGUUCAAUACAACGACUCCUACCAUUGAAGCUGGCACAGUUUGAUAAAAGACAUGGUUAGUGAGCAUUUAAACAAUAGUUACAGAAUUUGGCUUUUUGUCUCGUUUCUCACUAUACUUUUGAUUCACCUGCAGCUAGCAUGUUAUGGGUUCAUGUGAUUCUGAUGAAUUUGUAUCUGUUCAAGUGGAUGACGGUUAAUGUACAAGGGAUAGAGAGUCAUGUCUUCAUAUUUAUGGUCGAUAAGAGUAAUGUGCAAUUGAAAUUCAAACCUUCGUUACUAAUAACCAAUAGCAAGGUUUAGGUUUUGUGAGAAGAAAAGUGAACCAAAGGCGAUAGUACUAUUAAUAGGAUACUGUGUUUCUUCCAGCCCAUGGAUAAGAAUGUUUCAGUCGUUGCAGAGAUAGCUGAACAGAUGAAGUUGGCGUAAAAUCUAUGGUCACCUAUUGGUUCAAGAUCAAGUUUGACAGUAGUCAGUUUGCAAGUUCGAUAGCAUUCAAUUUUGUAAUAGUGAUUUCUGAAAAAUAAUAAUCAUGCUGCUGGUUACUUAGUGCUCAGUGGCAUUCAGUUACGUCCAAACGAAUUUUAUUUGUAAUCUUAAGAUGGCUUUUGUUA